UACGAAGGGUGCAAGCGUUACUCGGAAUUACUGGGCGUAAAGCGCGCGUAGGCGGCUUUGCAAGUCGGGGGUGAAAGCCCGAGGCUCAACCUCGGAACUGCCCUCGAUACUGCAAAUCUCGAGUCCGAGAGAGGUGAGUGGAAUUCCUAGUGUAGAGGUGAAAUUCGUAGAUAUUAGGAAGAACACCAGUGGCGAAGGCGGCUCACUGGCUCGGUACUGACGCUGAGGCGCGAAAGCGUGGGGAGCAAACAGG
RNAcentral lists this ribosomal RNA (253 nucleotides) under uncultured bacterium. Its description in RNAcentral is "partial 16S ribosomal RNA". It matches the Rfam family "Bacterial small subunit ribosomal RNA", at positions 524 to 776 of the family's 1533-position model. The record is from RNAcentral.